Long non-coding RNA from Esox lucius (northern pike), 1890 nucleotides. Lineage: Eukaryota; Metazoa; Chordata; Actinopteri; Esociformes; Esocidae. The record is from Ensembl.
GUGAGAAUGAGUGACUGCGCUGCACCAGUGUCUCGAAGGAUCUGAAUGCUUUUCUGAUCGGCUGGCUUUCCCGUUACCGAAAAACAACCGACAGACACAAAUGGAGCAUAGACGGGAUCUGGGUUUACUGCAUCCACAGAGACAACCAAUGUGCCUGGUAAACGAGGCACAGUCUGAACGAACCUAACACCUUUUGGUUUAGCGGUCGACGGCAGGGACUGUUUCGGUUUGCCUUUCAAAACCGGGCAGUCCGAUAUCACAUGGCCUAUUCGGUGACAGUAAAAACACUUGCGGGCCUCAGGCGAAGGUUUAAUGUCACAGGAUGAGAACCGAGGCGAACAAGACGCUGAUAACGUCGCUGUUCAGCUUUCAGAGCGAAUACGGUUUUGUGGGUUAAGGAAUACUUGUCUGCCAAUACAGCUGCCUGGGACCUCGUCGCCACCUUCUGUUAAUUUAAAUGAACAACAAUAUGGUCAGGAAGGUGGUUUUUGAAUUCCUCCAGCAGGAUUAAUUCCCUAAUUUCUGUGACGGUUGUAGCCUUGCUGGCUGCACACCAGCGAUCAAAUAGAGAUUCCUUGUCUCUAGCAAACUCUACAAAGGUGCGAUUUGAGGGUCUUUUGUAGUUUCUAAAUCGCUGCCUAUAGGCUUCUGGAACCAAUUAAUACACCCUUAGUACUGUUGCCUUUACUAACUCAUACUGCAAACUGUCUUCCAGGGAAAGACCGGCUACCACUUCCUUGGCUUUCCCAGACAAUUUACAUUAGAGGAGGAAAGGCCAAACAUCCUGUGGCCAAUGUAGCGCGGCGGCCACGCGCUCAAAAGCAGAGAAGUAGCUGUCUACUUCGGCCUCCCGAAAGGGUGGCACCAAAGCAAUAUUCUUGCUGACGUCAAACUGGGCCUGCUGACGAGAAGGCUACCCUCACCUUGAGCCUAGCGGCUGCUGAAUCAGAUCCGGAACCACUCGACUGAGGAGACAAUGGGUCAAACUUAGGCGGUGUCAGGGGGGCGCCAACAACUCCCUCCCGUGCACCGUCCUCUGACCGUGCAGGGGAGACAGAAACAACAGCUCCGUUCUCACCAGCCUCCUCUCCGAAGUCCAAGCCCUCGCUUUCCUCAUCCUUUAAGGUCAGAACUGAAAUAUGGUAGUGGGCAGCUAUAGCGAAGAGGUCUGCUUUCCACAGCCCUACCAACUGGCCAACCGAAGGUGAUUCACAGAAACUAGAGAUGGCCGAGUCAGCCAUAUGUACGCACGCCUGCCUACAGACCUAGACCUGGCGAACAACGAGACAGAACACCUAUCUCACGACCACUGCCUCCACACCACAAACACCACAGAGGCACUCAGUGUAGCGGGGUCGUAUGGAUCGUUUGGAUCCCGGACGAGCCCCCACUUAUGUUACGGGCGCCUCCCGGAGGAGAGCGUGCAACACCCCGCUACACGUAAAGUACCCUAUGACUUGACAGAAUGGGUAUGGGGUCGUGGGUGCGAGUAUGGACGACAGAGGCAGGACUACCGUUCACAGGAUUAUUUAUUUAACACAACGGUAAUUCAGGGAAAAGGGGUUGGGCGGAAGCAAAGAACAUAAAAAUAAACCCAAACCCUCUAACCCUACCUUACCUGUCAAACCUAACUAGCACCUCUUGCGCCGGUGCUCUAACCAAACUACAGGGGGUGUUCCCGCCCAGGUCUGACCUAGUGAUCAUACAUCCCCCCUGCUUUCACUUCAUUAAGUCAAUGGAGAGUGACACCAAGAGUGAAAGCAGAAUCAUGGCGAAUACGGCCACAAGAGGAGCCAUUCUGAACUCACACUAAACCCUCAUCAUUUCAGGAUGGAAUUGUAAAAUAGAGAAUUGGUAAUUGGGAUGGAUCUGGAAUCCAUUCGAUAUGGA